Molecule: long non-coding RNA, 1786 nt
Organism: Dermacentor albipictus
Lineage: Eukaryota; Metazoa; Arthropoda; Arachnida; Ixodida; Ixodidae
Source: RefSeq, a predicted model, not a curated record
CUACUUUUCUCUUCCCUCCCUAGUGUACGUUUGCCCAUAACGCUGCCCGAUUAGAUGAAAUCCCGGCGUCCGAGAUGUACUUUCGCCCGGGAAGAAUUUUGGAAGCUGUGAACAUCAUGGAAACCAUGAAAGCCUAGUGCACGGAUACUGAAGUAUCGAUGAAGAUUGGAAGGGAAUACACCUCAAUGGAUAGCUGGACCAUCAACCGGCAGAAGCCCCGCAGGCUACCUCGCCAACAGCAGCUGGAGGUUGCAGCCUGCAUGGCAGCAGAGAGGUACGCAUGGCAGGAGCAGCUGGCGGAAGAGAUGCCGGACUUGUGGGAGGCGACUGCACUCAUCCCAGGCACCCUGCGACAGGUCCUUACUGCCAUUGCGCAUGGCCUUCGCGAGCCACCUCAGCUGUGAUGGACUUGAUUUUUUUUAUGAUCCUUCAGUGAAACCAGACUACAAGUGCAGCUUAUCUUUCCAUUCAAACUGACGCGGCGUUAUUUGGUGGCGGUGCUCGCAUGUCUUCACAACCUAUUGAGGCCUGUACUAGGCAGCCUGUAAAAUAUAUGCAGGUCAUGCAUGACAAUGGCAACAAAAAAUUGAUAGUGUCAUGAUGCCGUCUGAAACACGAAUGCGCAUCACGUUUUUUUAUAUAUAUGUUGCAUGAAAGUAUGAUAUGACUAUCUGCAGCCCACAAGUGAAACAGUGGCUUCGCACUCUCAUUACUGGGCCUACAGCAACCAACAAUAGGGUGAACAAAUGUGUGUUGCUAGUUCAUAACUUUUUUUAAAUAUGUAAUUUUCAUGUGUAGUUUUACUUGCUGUACAAGUUUGCCCUGGUGAGAGAGUUAAUAUAGACUGCAUGUCUAAUUUUUUUCAACUUUUCAGUUGGGUGCGUGCUUUUAUUUUUCUGUUACCGCGAUGUUUCAACAUCUACUGAUUUUCGGGGAACAUAUGCACGACGUGAUCUUUUUUUUUGUAGUUUGACCACAGCAGUUUUUCACACACAUCUACUAUAGAAGCAUUUAAAUAGCAUGCUAUGAUAACUGUUAUUGAAAUUCCCCGUAAGGAUUUUUAUGCUACAUUUUGUCGAGUUUGCACUUUGACAUCCUUAGCGCCUGUCUUUAGCCACAAGUGGCCGUGUUUAAACUCCUUGUUAACAGCAAGUGAUUUUACUUGUGAUAGUUAUUAUAAUAUUUUACUUGUCCUUACCAGCGAUAGCAAUACAAUCUAGUCCCCAUUGUAGUUAAGCACGGUCUGUGAUAUAGGUAACUAGCCAUAGACGUGGCCAAUAUUAUACUAUACAUUUACUACCAGGCUGUUCUUGUAGUCGUUGUUCCAAGAAAGAUAGUUGAAGUGCGAGUUAUUUUUUCAGUUAUGUUGUUCUUUAAAAGCAUGUGGCUGCUAUUUUAUACUGGUAAUACAUAAUAUGGCAGUAGCCAUAGAACAGAAAUUCUAUUUUGUGCUACCACUAUGUUGAAUGCAUAACAGUCAAGACUCGCGACACCUUUUGUACUGUGUAGUUGCUGGGUGAAGGUGAAUGGUUGUGCAUGAGUCUCAAAAAGUCAUUAAGCUCAUGUCAGAUAUUUGUGGGAUUUCAUAUUUGCCAACUGUUCAUUUACAGUGUAUUGUAUCCCAUGUAGUGCGACAUCACGCUGUGCUUUUGCUAGCAUUAAAUCGUGUUCUGUGUACAUACAGCUGUGCACUGGAAUGAGUGUCAUUUACUUUUAUUAACGAUGACACUGACGGUGUGUUAUGUGUUUUAUUUACACCGGUGGCAUGAAUAAAUUAUUUUCAACA